GUAUCGAUGUGUAAUAUAGAAACUAACAUCAAAAAUUAUUUAAAACAAAUAAUAAAGUAUUUCAAAGGGGUUAUUAAGGAUAAUUAGCAAAUUUAUAAAAAAGGAGGCAAUGACCUAAUGCUACAUACAUUAAGUGGCAGUCCUAAGGGAAACCUUUUAUUUAAUACUUCCUGAAGUAAAUCAUUUUAGUAAGGAAAGGAAAGGAAAUCAACCGAGACUCCGAAAGUAAUGGUGAGUGAAAUCGGAUUAGCCUGUGACUUUAAACAAAGUGAAAUCCAAAGAAGGUACCAACCAUAGUCCUGUAACUUUCUUUAAUAGUCACUAAACACAAAUUUUGACAUUCUUAUCUAUAAAAUAAAUGUAAAUAAACAAUUCAAUUUAAUAUUAAUUAAAAUAUAUUCAAAAUUAAUUACUAAAGAUUGAAUUUUCAAUUAUUAAUAAUACGAUGAGAGAUAACUUGUUGGAAUAUAGGGGAACCAUCCUCUAAGGCUAAGUAUUAUAAAUUUAGCGAUAGCGAACAGUACUGUAAAGGAAAAUGUGAAAAAGAAAGAUAAUACAUCAGUGAAAUAGAUAUUGAAUUAGUAACUCUAUAAGCAGCCGGAAUUAAUAAAACAAUGACGGCGUACCUUUUGCAUAAUGGGUCAGCAAGUUAAUAGGAAUAGCAAGGUUAAAAGCCUUAGCGAAAGCGACUGAACUAAUUUAGAAGAAUAAUAUACUUUAUAUAAUUACAAUAAUAAUUUCUUUAUAUAUUUAAUAUAUAUUGAUUUAUUAAAAAUUUAUCUAAUAAUAGGUAUAAAAAAUAAACUACCAAAUAGUAAAAUUAUUUUCAUAAGUGAGUAAAAAUAUAUCUUAUAUUAUAAUUAAUGUUUUAAUACAAAAAUUAAUAUUUAUAUUAAUAAUUAAAAUAGAGUAGCACCUUAUGUAACAUAUAAAUAAUAUUAAUGUAAGUUGUUAUUUGCUAAAUAAUAGUGUUGGGUGAGUUAUUUCUAUUAGACCCGAAGCUAGAUGAUCUUUCCAGGGCCAGAUUUUAAGGAUCGAACGGGUGAAUGUUGCAGAAUUCUCCGAUGAGCUCUGGAAAGCGGUGAAAUGCCAAUCUAAUCUAGUGCUAGCUGGUAUUCUUCGAAACAUAUGUAAGUAUGACAUCUAAUUAAAAUUUAUGGAGGUACAGCACGGAAAUUUCGAACAAGUGAUAAUAAUUUUCUUUUUUUAAUUAAAAAGUUAAAAAGUUAUUGGGCGUUUAGGUUGCGGGGAUCUUGUAAAUCUUACCAAUGGAAUUAAAACUCGGAAGUACAUAAAUUAAUAUUAGAUAUUCAGACUGCUCAUGAUAAGUUGAGUAGUCAAGACGAAAACAGUCGAGAACACGUAUUAAGGUCCCAAAUGAUUAUUAAGUGAAAUUAAGGAGGUCGUAUAUUGUAAGCAGCUGUAAAGUGAGCCUGGUAGUCGCUACUUAUAAUGAACGUUGUAACAACGCAUCAGCUUUAUUCUUUUUUAGAAUAAGAAUGUGGCACCGAAAAUUUAACGGGUCUAAAUAAUCAACCGAUAUCGUGUUGGUUAAUAACAAAAACAAAAAAUAAAAAAUUAUUAAUCUAGGUAGAAGAACAUUCAGGAACGGCAGAUACACAGUGUUUCAUUGUGAUUGACGAACUGAAGAGAGAAUGCUGACAUGAGUAACGUAAAAAGAAGUUUUAAUACUUCUCGCCGAAUACGAAAGGGUUAUAAGUUAGGUUAAACCGACUUAUGUUAAAUGCGGGUCUCUAAGGUACAGAACCAAAGUUCUGACUGAUGAGGUAGUGAUAGUAAUGUCCUAAUGGAAGAUUGGACCAAGAAAAUUUAUCACUUCUGAAGAAUUAUUAAUAAUAUUUUUUUAUUUAAGAAGGUUACAUUUUUUAAUAAAUGGAUUGUAAAUAUUCGAAUUUAAGUUUAAAUGUUAAAACUAUCUUUAGGUGAAAAGAUAUAUAGUAAACUUAAUAAACCAGAACUACCGUACCCUAAACCGACUCAGGUUCGUAAGUAGAGAAUACUAAGGCGUAGAGCUAAGAGUUGUAAAGGAACUCGGCAAGAUGUCCUCAUAAGUUUGACGACAAGAGGAACCAGAAAAAUUAAUUUCGAUUUAGAGUAGUUAAAACUAUUCUUUAAUAUCGACUUAUUAUUCACCUUAAUUGUAUUAUUUAUACUUUGUUUUUUAUUUUAUUUUUGGAUAAUUAUAAAGUAAUAUUUAUUUUUAUUUUUAAAUAAGUAUCAUAACUUAGAUAGAGAAACAAUUAAAACAAUAAUAAAUAAUCAGCCAUGGUUAUUAAUAUAAUUUGGUGGCACAGAAUCGGAGGCCUCGACUGUUUACUAAAAACACAAGAAUGUGCAAUGAUAUAAGUCAUAGUAUACGUUCUGAAAUUUGCUCGAUGCCAUUAAUAUAAGAAAGGUAAUGGGUAACUGUUACUGAUUGAAAGUCUGGUUAAUAGCGGUCUUAACUAUGAGGAUCCUAAGGUAGCAAAAUAAAUUGGCCAUUAAAUGUGGUCCGGUAUCAAUAAUGUAACGAAGGUCUCACUGUCUCUACAACUUGCUCAGUGAAAUUGAAUUACCCGUGCAGAUGCGGGUUACCCCCAGUGGGACGGGAAGACCCUAUGCAGCUUUACUGUAGUUAGUUAACACGCUGAUCUAGAACAAUUCCUAACAAUAGUAAUUAGGUAAGUCGAUAGACGAUAAUUUGAACUUCAUAAUUAACACUUAUCUUAAACUCAAUAGCUUUCUAAUAUUAAUCUGUAAUUUAAUUAUUAAAGAUAAUAUUAACGAUUGUUGAGGAGUGGAUAUUUGAAGAUUGAAGGAAUGAUUGUUUGGAAACCUCCGGAUUGGAAUUGGGUCAGGGUUUACCUUUGUAUUUUACUAAUAUUUAAUAUUACAAAAUUAGGGAUAAUUGACUAAUUGGCAGUUUGACUGGGGCGGUCGUCUUUAAUAAAGUAGCAAAGUACAUCCAUAGAUUUAAAUUUAACAAUUAUUACAAUAUUAUUAUUUUUUAAUAAUGUUGCAUACUAAAAAGAUUAUUAGAUGGUAUAAAUUCAUUUUAUUUUUUAUUUAUUAUUUUUUAAUUUAUAAAUUAUAAUUCUGUUUUAUAUUAUAUAAUCUAUUAUAUAAAUAACAUAACUUAAUAAGUUAAUACAUCAAUUAUGAUUUUUUACAUAAAAAUUCUUUUUUUUUUAAGGUAUAGCUAGAAAUCGAAUGGAGAUCAAUCAACCAGUGUAAAGGUUGUGCAUAGUGUAAUGGCGGAAAGCAUACCUAACUGAAAGACCUAAAAGUCGACCAGAUACGUAAGUAGGGCAUAGUGACCCCUCGCUAUAAUAUGGAAUAGACGGGGAUCAUUUGAUAAAAGUUACGCUAGGGAUAACAGGCUGAUAGCCGGUGAGAGUACACAUUGUCCCGGCUGUUUGGCACCUCGAUGUCGAUUCAUCCUAUCCUCCGGGGGUAGAUUCUUGGAAGGGUUGGGCUGUUCGCCCAUUAAAAGGGUACGUGAAUUGGGUUUAAUACGACGUGAGUCAGUAUGGUCCCUAUCUUCUGGGGGGACAAUUAGUAAAAAGGGGAAGACCUUCUAGUACGAAAGGAUCAAUAGGCUGUGUUUCUAUAGUGUACCAAUUGUUGAAACUGAAUAUUAUAUAUAAACUAAGAAACCUUCUUUAAUUUUUAGUUUAGUCCUUAUUCAUUUGCGUAACCCGUAGAUAAAUUUGUGAUUUAUUUAUUUUUUAAUAAAUUAUUAUAUUAUAUUUGGUGUGGUAAUGAUUAUAAUAAUUAUUUUUAUAUUUAUUUAAUUAAUAAGACUAACAUUGUUUU
RNAcentral lists this ribosomal RNA (3816 nucleotides) under Phellinidium ferrugineofuscum. RNAcentral's name for it is "large subunit ribosomal RNA". It matches the Rfam family "Bacterial large subunit ribosomal RNA". Lineage: Eukaryota; Fungi; Basidiomycota; Agaricomycetes; Hymenochaetales; Hymenochaetaceae. The record is from RNAcentral.